RNAcentral lists this ribosomal RNA (494 nucleotides) under uncultured bacterium. RNAcentral's name for it is "partial 16S ribosomal RNA". It matches the Rfam family "Bacterial small subunit ribosomal RNA", at positions 28 to 507 of the family's 1533-position model. The record is from RNAcentral.
GAUGAACGCUGGCGGCGUGCUUAAUACAUGCAAGUCGAGCGGUGAAGCGCCUUGCUUUUUGGUGGGUGUGGAGGAGCGGCGAGCGGGUGAGUAACACGUUAGUAACCUGACACGUUCUUCUGGAUAACCGCAUGAAAGUGUGGCUAAUACGGGAUAUUCUGGGUCUGUUGGAUGAUGGGUGUGGGAAGGAUAUUGUUUCGGUGGGGGAUGGGCCCGCGGUGUAUCAGCUUGUUGGUGGGGUGAUGGCCUACCAAGGCGGUGACGGGUAGCCGGCCUGAGAGGAUGGACGGUCAUGGUGGUAAGGAGACACGCCCAAUCCUACUGCGGGCGGCAGCAGGGGAGAUUAUGGAAUAGGGGGAGGAAUGCUGAUGCAGCGCCGCCGGGGGGGGGAUGGUGUCCUUCGCGUUGUGAACCUCUUUCGCGAGUGAAGCAAGCUUGCCUCGAUUGUGCGUGGCUUGACGGUAGCUGGACAAGAAGCGCCGGCUAACUACGUG